ACUUCCGGCCCGCAGCGCGCCGCUCUGGCCUCUCGUCUCGCUGGUGCGGCGGCGGGAGGCGCCGCUCUGGCCUCUCGGUCCUCCCGGGGCUCCGGUUGUGCCGGUGCCGCCGGUGCCGCCAUGUUGGUGACGGUGAAGGCGCUGCAGGGCCGCGAGUGCAGCAUCGAGGUGUCCCCAGAGGAGCAGGUCGAGGCGCUGAAGCUGUUGGUGGCCGAACGGCUGCAGGUGCCGGUGGAGCAGCAGCGCUCCUGUACCGGGGGAAGGCGCUGGCUGACGGCCGCCGUCUCUCCGAGUACUCCAUCGGCCCCUCGGCCCGGCUCAACCUCGUGCUCAAGCCGCCGGGGGGCGGGGCCAGGGGGGGCGGGGGGGCGGGGCCUGAGACCCCCCCACCCCCGGAGGACUUGGGGUCCCCCCCCCUUGCCUCGCUUUUGGGGCCCCUCUCCCAGCUGCUGGGGCGGCACUUUGGGGUGCAGGAAGGGGCGCGGGUCCUGCAACAGCUGCAUAAGGACUAUGCGCAGUCCCUGCGCGGGCUCAGCCUGGACGACCUGGAGCGGCUGGGAACGAGGCUGCUGCAGCCCGAGGGCGGGGCCGACGCAGGCCCCGCCCCCUCCACAAGCCCCGCCCCUUCAACAAGCCCCGCCCUUUCACAGGCAACCACACCCCUCCCCUAGCGUGCCACGCCCCCUACCCUUAGCCACGCCCCCUCCCUUACCCCAUUGGUCCAGCCCCCCCCCUCCGCAAGCCCCUCCCUUUGCCUGACCACGCCCCCUCCUUUAAAGGGGCCGAACUCCAUUAAAAGCCCCAUUU
This 807-nucleotide long non-coding RNA is filed under the name Strigops habroptila (Kakapo). Its description in RNAcentral is "lncRNA (ENSSHBG00005008392.1)". The record is from RNAcentral. Lineage: Eukaryota; Metazoa; Chordata; Aves; Psittaciformes; Psittacidae.